GACGAACGCUGGCGGCGUGCUUAACACAUGCAAGUCGAACGGUAAGGCCCUUCGGGGUACACGAGUGGCGAACGGGUGAGUAACACGUGGGUGAUCUGCCCUGCACUUCGGGAUAAGCCUGGGAAACUGAGUCUAAUACCGGAUAGGACCACUGCCGGCAUGGGCGGUGGUGGAAAGCUUUUGCGGUGUGGGGUGGGCCCGCGGCCUAUCAGCUUGUUGGUGGGGUGAUGGCCUACCAAGGCGACGACGGGUAGCCGGCCUGAGAGGGUGACCGGCCACACUGGGACUGAGAUACGGCCCAGACUCCUACGGGAGGCAGCAGUGGGGAAUAUUGCACAAUGGGCGCAAGCCUGAUGCAGCGACGCCGCGUGAGGGAUGACGGCCUUCGGGUUGUAAACCUCUUUCAGCACCGACGAAGCGCAAGUGACGGUAGGUGCAGAAGAAGGACCGGCCAACUACGUGCCAGCCGCCGCCGUAA
This 478-nucleotide ribosomal RNA is filed under the name uncultured bacterium. RNAcentral's name for it is "partial 16S ribosomal RNA". It matches the Rfam family "Bacterial small subunit ribosomal RNA", at positions 28 to 523 of the family's 1533-position model. The record is from RNAcentral.